UCUCCCGGAGGCGCAUGAUGUCCUCGGCCAGGUUGUCGCGCUCCACCUCGACGCGGGCUUUGUCGUUGGUUAGCUGGUCCACCUGCCGGCGCAGCUCCCGCAUCUCCUCCUCGUAGAGGUCCCCCAGGCGCGACUUGCCUUGGCCCUUGAGCUGCUCGAGCUCGGCCAGCAGGAUCUUAUUCUGCUGCUCCAGGAAGCGCACCUUGUCGAUGUAGUUGGCGAAGCGGUCAUUCAGCUCCUGCAGCUCCACCUUCUCGUUGGUGCGGGUGUUCUUGAACUCGGUGUUGAUGGCGUCGGCCAGCGAGAAGUCCACCGAGUCCUGCAGGAGCCGCACCCCGGGCACGCUGCUCCGCAGGCGCACGGCAGAGGAGCGCGUGGCAUACACGCCGCCCGGGGACGAGGCGUAGAGGCUGCGGCUGGUGCUGGGGCGCAGCGCGCUGCCCAGGCUGUAGGUGCGGGUGGACGUAGUCACGUAGCUCCGGCUGGAGCUCGGCCGGCUCGCGGUGCCCGGGCCGCCGAACAUCCUGCGGUAGGAGGACGAGGACACGGACCUGGUGGACAUGGCUGCGGAGGGUGGCGAUGGCCUGGGCGGCGGCGGUGGCGCGGACUGGCUCCCGGAGAAGAGGCGAACGAGGGCGCGACAGCAAAGCUCCCUUUGGAUGACAUAGAUUUAUUACUUAGUAGUAUAUUAUGUAUUGGCUGUCCCACAUUUUGAAAUUUAAUGGACUCGUGGUGAUCAGAAUAAAAGAAGCCUUCGAUGUGAGGCCCAGGCAUUGAGUACCAUGUGUGCGAUUCACAAGCCUUGGCAUCUGAACAAUUUUUUGGAAGGAUCCAUCAGGACAACACGUCGGGGGUGUACUAGUGAAGUGAUUUUCCAAAUGUGCUACUCAGACCUGUAGCAUCAGCAUCACCGGAUAAUUUGUUAGAAAUUCCAACUGUUAGGCCCCACUUUAGACCAACUGAAUGUGAAACUCUGGGAGUACGUGGGGCCCAGCAAUUUGUGUUUUUACAAGACUUACCAGGUGAUUCUGAGAACCACUGUGCUAGUGAAUUGUUCCUGUCUGUGGCCACGUAGAAUAAGAAAACCAUAGGGUUGGAAAAUGGGGAAACUGGAAUUAUCUCGCUGAAUGAAGCAAGAGAUUCAGGAUGUGUAAGAGAAUUUAUGAAGCAUUUGGAUUACCAAGAAAUGUGAAGUAUAAAGAUCAAGAAUGAUUAUUACAAACACUGAUGGUAAAGAGGUGUUUCGAAGUCGAUGCAAAAAAUGAGUUGCUUAUUUCAGUCUCUCUUUGAUAUAUCUGCCUUUUUAGUGCUGACUCUAUCAUGUAUUCACUAUUUGAUUUUCAGUGAAUCACAUUUUUUAAAGCUUUUAAUCU
Molecule: long non-coding RNA, 1373 nt
Filed under: Homo sapiens (human)
Lineage: Eukaryota; Metazoa; Chordata; Mammalia; Primates; Hominidae
Description: HSALNT0356641
Source: RNAcentral